This 5038-nucleotide long non-coding RNA is filed under the name Nicotiana benthamiana. RNAcentral describes it as "long non-coding RNA (NBEN_LNC014025)". The record is from RNAcentral. Lineage: Eukaryota; Viridiplantae; Streptophyta; Magnoliopsida; Solanales; Solanaceae.
AUUCAAAUACUCUCUGUAAGUAGCAACAAGCCAUGUGAAGCCUCUCCAGAUGAGCUUAUUAGCCAAAGGAACACCAAUGAUGAUUUCUUUCAUAGUUGGCUUCUUGUCAUCUCAUACAGUAAUCAAGUAACUCCUUCCAACCCACCCAAUCCAACCAACAAUUUACAAGAAGGGUAUCCCUGGUGUUAUGAACUCUCCCCAGUGCCUUUGGUCUCCUCUCACUAUCAAGUGUGGCAAUCCAUCUGAUCCACACAACAAUCCUUGCUUCCCAUAGUUGUCAAACCUGCAUUUAAAUUUUGAGAUGAGAAAAAUAACACAUCUUUGAAAUACAUGUUUUAAAAAUAACUAUAUUCAAUUACAUUUUCAGGUCAUAUAUUACCACUAGCAUAAGGUGUUAUUGAUUCAAAGAACGAUGCUGCUUGGACAUAAUUUUUUGAGCAAUUCAAGAUAGAACAUGGUAACGGAGAAAACAUGUGCAUCGUUUCAGAUAGAAAUGAGAGUAUCAUUAAAUCUGUAUCGAGAGUGUAUCCAGAUGUAUUGCAUUUUGCUUGUAUUUGGCAUCUAUGAAACAACGUAUAUAAGAAAUUCAAAAAGAGCCAUGCCAAGUUGAGUGAGAUAUGUGUUUCAACAGUCCCAAUGGGUCUAUAUUGUGAUCUGGGACCUGAUUGUAUGCCCGAAAUCGGAUUCCGAGGUCCUUAUCUCGAGAUAUAAUUUUUUGUUGAAAACUGAAAGCCUAAAAAUUUAAUGGUUUUUUAAGAAUUGAUUAAGACUUGGUCUUGUUGAUACCAGGCCCGUAUUUUGGUUUCGAAGCCUGGUACGGGUCCAUUAUAAUAUUUAUGACUUGUCUCUAAAAUUUGGUGAGAAACGGAGUUAGUUUGAGGUGAUUCAGACGUCCGGUUGUGAAAAAUAGAAGUUUUAAAGUUUUCUGGAAAUAUUCAUUUGAUUUGCUAUUCAAUUUGUAGUUCUAGGUGUUAUUUUGGAGAUUUGAUCGCGCAAGCAAGUGCGUAUGAUAAUUUUCGACUUGUGUGCAAUUUUGAUUUAGAGUCCCGAGAGCUCGGAUGAGUUUCAGAUAGUCUAUAGAGUGAAAUUGAGCAUAGAGCAUUGAUGGUUCUACAAUUGGUGUCUAAUCUCGCAUUUGCAAGAUCACUGUUCAUAUUUGAGAGCAUUCCCCAACCUGGCAAGUCGCAAUUGCAAGCAAAUUCAUCCCAUUUACGAAGAGUACCUGGGCCAGCCUUAAUUCGUAUUGCGAUCUAGAGGUCGCAUAUGCGGGCUAGAUCAUGUAGUGGUCGCAAUUAUGGAUUGGUAAGUGUUCGCAUAUGCGAAUUUUUCAUCGCAAAUGCGAUGACUACAGAGGUGUGGGGGUCUUUGCAAAUGCGAUGGAUUUCUCGCAUUUGCGGGCUUCGCAUUCCCAGGUUGCAAAUGCGACAUCUGUAGCUGAACAAAUUAUGAAUUAGACGUAAUUUUUGGUCCAUUCUUUAAAUUUUCAAAACCUAAAACCUUAGAGGCAAUUUUUCCAGACUCCUUCUUCCCCAAGUCGUUGGUAAGUGAUUCUAACCUACAUCAUUUCAAUCUUUCACUGCAUUUCACAAGUUUUCAACCUAAAAUCUAGAGUUUUCAUGGUGGAAUUAGGGGUUUUGGGUAAAAAUUAGGUAUUUGGUAAAUUAGUGAUUUAGACUUUAAAUUAAGGUUGGAUUUCAAAACCAAUCAUACAACCAGGCACGUGGGUGAAUGGGUAAUAGGAUUUUGGUCCGAAUUUUGGAUUUGGACCAAGUGAUACUGGUGGUUGACUUUUUCAAUAAUGACCUAAAUUGAAUCUUUGCAAUCGUGGGUGAUUCCUAAAGCUUAUUUUAAAUUAUUUGGUUGGUAAUUUGCUAGAUAUUAUUGGUUUGGAGGCUUGUUUUAAAGGAAAAGCUAUGGUUGAGCUUUAUGUGGUCUUUGAAGUGAGGUAAGUAUUAUGUCUAACUUUGACUUGAGGGAAUUAGGAAUCCUCGGACUAUGUGCUAUGUCGGCGUAUAUAAAUGAGGUGACCAGUGCUUAUACUCUGCCGAAUUAUCUAUUUUUCCUGACUUUCUGCUUUUCCUUAAUUAUUUCCUUCAUGUCCAAACCGUUAUAUGCUCUAAAUAUUUUCUAUGCUUAAUUGCUACUUGUUAUUCAGUAUCUUCUCAUAUUCACGAUGUUAGUCUUCCUUAGUUUCAUGAUUCCCUACUAAUUAACUUACUUACACCUUCUAAUUGUCAAUUGAUGGAUUGGUCUCCCUAUGUAGUAUUACUAGUGUAGAUUUCUUCAUUGUACAAGUCCUCUCUAGGUUUAGUUUCGUAUUUAUUGAUCGUAAAUGCUUGGUGGUUGAACUAUUGAUUUGAUUGUGCUUUGAGUAUUUGGCACUGAUAUGGUGGGAACGAGAUGCACACCGCAACAUGUAUAAUAAUGAUGGAUUGAUAUGGUGGAAUAAAAGUGAAUAUGUUCUAUACGAUGGGAUCGGGUUGCACGCCAAAAAGGUGGAAUUCGGGUAAAUUGAUACGACAAAAUAAGGGUGCAUUAUAAUAUUGAUAUUGACAUAUGGUGGGACAGGGUUAUGCGCCGCAUAUAUAUAUAUAUAUAUAUANNNNNNNNNNNNNNNNNNNNNNNNNNNNNNNNNNNNNNNNNNNNNNNNNNNNNNNNNNNNNNNNNNNNNNNNNNNNNNNNNNNNNNNNNNNNNNNNNNNNNNNNNNNNNNNNNNNNNNNNNNNNNNNNNNNNNNNNNNNNNNNNNNNNNNNNNNNNNNNNNNNNNNNNNNNNNNNNNNNNNNNUAUAUAUAUAUAUUAUUUACUAUUGUUGAUAUUGUUACGGUGAAGUAAUGGAGGAUUUUGUGUUGUCUGGUGAGAUAAAGCUACGCAGCGCAACAACCUAUAUGUUUUCAUUUCUUGAACCGUAUUGGUUUUUCGGUGUUUGUAUUUGAACUAUUAAAGAUUUGUAAUUCUGGAUGACACUGGUUUAUUCUUGAAGCGGUUGUUAUCAUUUUUAGUUGACUGUUAAAUUGUGUUCAGUAUUUCCUAUUUUCCGUUAAUAUUAUAUACUGCGUAUAUGUUGUAGUACAGGUGACCCGCUAUAGCCUUGUCAUUACUUCGUCGAGAUUAGGCUCGGCAUUUGCCAGUACAUGGGGUCGGUUGUACUGGUACUACAUUCUACACACUGUGCAGAUUUUGGAAUUGGUCCAAGCGGCUGUUAUUAGCAUGCUCGGAUUGGAUAGUUGCGGAGACUUGAAGUACGACUGCUCAGCACCCGCAGCUCUUAGAGUCUCCUCCUUUAUCCAUUUAGUUGUGUAUCAUCAUUCAAACAACUUUGUAUUUAUUUGAGACUCUUGUAUGUAUUACUCUAGAAGAUCGUGCAAUUGUGACACCGAAUUUAGGGAUUUGUAGCAGAUGUUUUACGAUUUCAGCUUCCUCUUUUAUAUUUAGAUUAUUGUAGUUAAAUCAAUUCUUCUUCAUUAAUUGGAUUUAUUAAAAAGGAUAAAUUGUUCUAAUGUUGGCUUGCCUAGCAAAUAAAAUAUUAGGUGUCAUGACGGCCCCAUAGUGGGAAUUCCGGGUCGUGCCAUCUUUUCUUGUUACAGCAAAAUCUAAUAUUCCCAUAUAUAGUCUUUGCACAUUUGUGUGGAUACAAUAUAAUAGCGCAAGCAAAAUGAAGAUAUACUUGAUUUCUUAUACAAUAAAUUUAGAAGUUGGGGUCAGUGAGUUCUCCAUUCAAAUACUCUCUGUAAGCAGCAACAGGCCAACUGAAGCCUCUCCAGAUGAGCUUAUUAGCCAAAGGAACAUCAAUAAUGAUUUCUUUCAUAGUUGGUUUCUUGUCAUCUCUUACAGCAAUCAAGUAACUCCUUCCAACCCACCCAAUCCAACCAGCAAUGUACAAGAAGAGAAUCCCUGGUGUGAUAAACUCUCCCCAGUGUCCUUGGUCUCCACUCACUAUCAGAUGUGGCAAUCCAUCUGAUCCACACAACAGUCCUUGUUUCCCAUAGUUGUCAAAUCUGCAAACUCAAUUCAUCCCAUCUGAUCCACACAACAAUCCUUGCUUCCCAUAGUUGUCAAACCUGCAUUUAAACUUUGAGAUGAGAAAAAUAACACAUCUUUAUAGGAUUUAGGUUAGCUUAUAUGUGUACACCGGUAACCAGGGACAGAUCCAUCGUUAAGGUCUCGGGUUCAUCUUAACACAAUAUCUUCAACGCGAAGCAUAAUAAAAGUUGAACUCAUAAUUAAAUCUUGGAUUCGCCACUGCUGACAUCUGGUGUAACUUAACAUAUUAUAGCAGAAUAGCAGGCAACCUGCUUCAUUUUCCAGGGUUACGAUCCCAUCUUUUAUAAAUCACUAUCUCUAAUUAUCUUUUAGUUUGAAAAAUUCUUGCACCAUCUGUGUAAGAUAAGUUAACUUGUUGUAGCAGGUUAUUUAUUAUUUAUUAUAGAUUAUCAGAAAAUGCUUAUUAAGUAGAAUGACUUGUAAUUACGUUUUUAAGUAACAUAAUUGUGUAAGAAUCUCUUACGCAGUAAACACAUAGGAAUUACACUCAUUUUCUCAAAUUCUCACUUUGCCAUUAAAUUCUCAUUUUCUGAUCCAAGUAUUGUUGGAUUUCAUCACUUUACAAGAACAUAACAAGUACUCCUAUUAAACCGGACAUCUUAAGUAGUUACCUAAAAUGAUAGAGAAAUAGUUCCAAAAUUUGAUUUAAUUACAGCGAGUAGAUUACACAAUGAUAUUUAGCAUGGCAAAAUAACAGAUUACGAAUUGGAAUUAAUUUUAUACACACUACUUAAUAAUUUACAAGAAUUUUCACACUAGAAUAGUUUAACAUGCUGUAGUAGUAGGUAUCAAGUGUUAUGGCUAUUAAUUCUGUUUAUUAUGGAUAGCUACCCAGUAGUAAUCUAUGAAUAUUUUCUAUACAUAAAGUAUAACGUUUUGAAAUUUUGCAUGAUGAUGUACACUUUCAGGACAGCUUAGAUGGCAAAAGUAGAUGACAAGUAAAACAAAUACUAAAAGACUAUGUCAAAAACAAAAAAAAUAAAAAUACAAACCUGC